RNAcentral lists this unclassified non-coding RNA (383 nucleotides) under Hevea brasiliensis (rubber tree). Lineage: Eukaryota; Viridiplantae; Streptophyta; Magnoliopsida; Malpighiales; Euphorbiaceae. The record is from RNAcentral.
UAAGAAUGCUGUGCUCCAGAGACAACUGGAAUUAUACAUGAAGGAAAAAGCUGCUUUGGAAAGAGAAACUUUUUCCGUGACCGAGUUGAGAAAUGAAAAUAUAUUUCUGAAGAGUUCUUUGAGCGCCUUGGAGGAAAAGAACUCUGCAUUGGAGCAUGAGCUAAUAAAGGGUAAAGAAGAGUCUACUGACACAAUUGCCAAGUUGAGAGCAGUUGAAGAGACAUGUUCACAACUCCAACAGAACUUAAAAAGUAUGGAGGAGAAGCUCUCAAAUUCAGAGGAUGAAAAUCUUAUCCUCCGACAGAAAGCAUUGAGUGCAACUCCGAGAAGCAAUCGUCCAGGUUUUGCCAAGUCUUUUAGCGAUAAAUUCUCUGGUGCACUCG